This 2042-nucleotide long non-coding RNA is filed under the name Triticum aestivum (bread wheat). RNAcentral describes it as "long non-coding RNA (TAES_LNC014317)". The record is from RNAcentral. Lineage: Eukaryota; Viridiplantae; Streptophyta; Magnoliopsida; Poales; Poaceae.
UUUGAUUAACGAGCUAGUCAAGUAGAGGCAUACUAGAGACACUCUGUUUUGUCUAAGUAUUCACACAUGUGCUAAGUUUCCGGUUAAUACAAUUCUAGUAGGAAUAAUAAACAUUUAUCAUGAUAUAAGGAAAUAUAAACAACAACUUUAUUAUUGCCUCUAGGGCAUAUUUUCUUCACGAGAGCCCAUAUUAGAGGCUACCUAAUUAAACUCCUAGAGAUUGUAUAGAAAAAUUGAACUCCUGACUACCCAUAUUAGAGGGCACCUGCAGUCCGUCCCAAGUAAGCGUGUUGUGUGGCAGCCUGUGCUGCUCCUGUCAAGAGUAGGCGUGAACGGAGAGACAACGCAUAACAGUGACGCAAACUCAAGCGGGAGAUAGCAAUAUGGAGGGGCUCUGAAAACAGAGAGAUAAAUAUGGCGGCAAUCUGCUCCCGAUCCGGAAUCACGCCGCGCGAUGGCAUCCGGUCCAGAUCUUGGGGAGGCGUUGUUCUGCGGGAAGACAAAAAUAGGCAGCCGACCGAUCACCAGAUAUUACUUACUAUGAUUUGCUUUAACAAGGGGACAAAUAGUUUAAUUAGUGAUCAACUGACAAGAAUCUAAACAAUCUAUGACAUUCAUCUCCUAAGACACAUCCAACAGUUGUGAAGAAGCAGUUACAUGAGGGCGAGGAUUGGAACAAGGACUGGGAGAGGAUGAGGAACAUACCUAGUACAAAUCCAAUCUCACUUCCUUCUUUUUUCAUCAUUAAUUACCAACAUUGCCAUCAGGAACAUCUACAAAAUAUGUGUUCUCAAUUCCUGGAUAUCCCAUGAGAAAUAGCAGCAAUAAAAAAAGAUGAAACUGGACUUAAAUAGUUUGUUUAGUGUUGUAAAAAUUCAAUGUGUAUGUAAACAAAAGAACAGUACACAGGUAACGAACUACCAUUAAAAGAACCAGUUGUUGUACAAAAUAUAAUCAAUUAGGGUGUAAAAACAUCAUCGUGAACCUGCACCAAAUCCAGAAACUAAAGAACAUUAUCUAAAGAAGAAGACAUAUGUAACACAUGAAGAAUGUAAUCUUCUGGCAAUAACUACUAUCUGGCACACCAAAAUAACAUAGCCUGCUGCAGAACAAAUAAACAUGACUAUGUAGAGAGAGAGAGACCAUCUUUUUCUUCACCAAGCACUUCCUCAAGAUUCAUCCCCUUCUCCUUUUCUCUCAGACCUGCACACAUGUGUUUAGAAAAACCAUAAAUCGAGGAGUAAAAACUGGGGAAGAAAAUGAGACCUUGCUGCUCCUUGCCUCAUGGCUAUCCCUCUCAUCCAGAAGCACAACAACCUGCCAUGUUCUUCUCAAGAUCAAAAUAGUAGUAAUCAAAUUUCACAAAUAAAACAUCAACAAACAAUGGUUAAUUAGUAAAGAACCAAUUUUAUCUAUUGCAGCGACACAGAUUUCUUAGCUUGCGUACAACUCUUAUGUGAUAAGAAGUCAAUUCUGCUGGGUAGUAAGUACCUCGUGGAGAUGGUUGGCAUGGCGAAGCUAUAGGAGCCACCCAUCACGACGAGGAGGCGAGAUACGAAGAACAUUUGCAGUAAGGUGUUUAUGCCUGUGACGAACAAGAGCGUCUAAAUUUCCUGGUAUGUAUAUUGAAUGGCUAAAGUUUAUUCAAAUAUCAGGUAGGUACAUCCACAGUAGCACAACAAAUGAAGUAGUUGAAGGUGCGGUACGAUGUAGGCGGUUCAUCCUUGCUUUGUGAUACCAAAAGUUGUAGACAUAAAAUAAAAUUUAUCACACUGUGGGCUCUGAGUAAGAUAAAGAAAAGAAAAAAGGUGAACCUGGCAUCCGUGAUGCUCAUGAACUUUAUGAGUUCCAAUUAGCUUCCUGGUAUUUCUAUCAUAAUCAUUUGCCAAUAUAGAGACAUAUCACUGCAGAAGGUUUCUUCUUAAAAGGAAAAUUAAAGACACACUCCUUCGGUUGGAAUGAGUACAAGCUAGGUAUAUCACAGAUGCACCAUAAUAAUUUCAAAAGCGGUGAAAAAAUAUGCAUCCAACAUAGAACAUAGG